AGAAAAUGAGUAGUGAUCCUGUUUUCAGUUAGAAAGGUUUCAAAACCAUCUUUAAAAAGUUAAAUCCAAGUCUUCAAGUUUUAUUCAUGCUCUUGAAAAAUAGCAGAUACCAUUACAUGUGCUUAUUUAUUUCACAUUUAAGAUCCAAGUGGAGAAAUCGGAUUAUAGUUUCCUUGUCUGCCGUAAACUAUGUGGAUGGUUUCGUUUCAGACGGUUAUAGGGUGAGUUCUGAAUGCUUCUCAGUUUAACUUUUAUCCCCAUUUUCUCCUCUGUGUAACUCGGUGUGAAAGUCCGGGGGAUGGAGAUCCGUAUCCGAUUUGUGGCAGGGCCCACAAGGAGAGAGGAGUACCCCAUGCAGGCGAAUCGCCUCGUUUUGUCUGCAGAGCCAAGAGAGGCUGAAGUUGGCUGCAGGACAGUUUUCAGCGUCCGAGGAUGGGGUGGCCGGUCAGGCAGACCUGCCCCGCAGGAUGUUCCCGGGAGCAAGCAGUGAGCCCGCCCGCCCCCACGCUCCCUGCCCGGGCGCCCAGCGUGGAGGCUCCCCUGGUCUCCCCACACGGCCGGGGCCUCGCCCCAGCCCCAGCGCAGCCCCUCACCAGCUCCCAGAAACCGGUGAGAAGCAGCCCAUAGCUUGUUACCUGUUUAUCCGAAGGACAGAUCGGUGCUCAAGAAAGGUGGCGACACGGAGGCCCAGAGUGAGGAAGUCAUGUAUUCAAGGUGGCAGAGCUGGGAUUUGUAUAUCAUCUCUGUACCUGAGCCCCUAACCUGCAAGUCAUAAUAGGCAACGGAUCAAUGUUAUGAUGCAGUGGAGGCCCUUACCAGAAGCCAACCAGAUGCCAGCACCAUGCUCUUGGAUUUCCCAGUCUCCAGAAUGGUGCAGGUGGAGACGGAACCCUAGACACUGCUCAUCCCAAUCAGGCCCUUUCCAGGCCUGUCCCAUUCCAAUCGGGCAUCAGAUGUGGCAUUGAUCAUCAUCUACUUAACAAACGAGGCUCCCCUUUCAAUGCACUUGGGUCUCCUCUGGGCCAACCUUGGUUCUGAGAUAGCAGGUGCUGAAAUACUGCUGAAUCCUCAAAGCCAGACUAGCCAGUGCCUGGCACCUGAUGGGAAUAUGAUUUCAACGAACAGCUCACAGAAUCCUCCCCACAAAGCCGAGAAGCAGGAAGCAGCAACCCUCCCAGAUGAAGAAGCGAAGGCUCGGAAAAGCUAAGUAACUUCUCCAAGCUGACGCAGCUCGUGAGAGGAGGGACUGGGAUUCAAAUCCCUGCAGGGGGAGACCAGCAGCCCCGACUUCAGCCGCCAUGCCUCCUGCCUGAGAAGCUAGCUGCGAAGGUUCCAGAAGGAGACUGCCCUCCGGGAACAGAAACAGCGCAUGACUGCGACCUGUCUGCAAAAAUCUUGAUCACUUGUAAAUCCUUCUCCACCUGAUAAGUUAUCACAUUGGCUCAUGAUGUUUUUUUUCAUUCUCAGUGAGUUCAAAAUACUAUUUUGGUUUGUCUCAGUUUCUUCCUCUCUCUCUCUCUCUCUCUCUCUCUCUCUCGUAUAAAGGUAUCCACAUGUCACAUGUCAUUUGUUGAUAAUUAAAUUUUGAAUAGACAAUUCAUUGUCAAAACCAUCAAACAGUAUACUACAUGUCUGCAUUUGACUCUAUAUACAUUUUACCUAACAAGGAAAGCCCAUAAACAAAUACGAAAGUCUGGCUAAUGAUCCACAUACAGAAGUGUUUGGGAGGAUGGGCUCUGAGAUCUACAGCUUACUUUGAAAGGCAUCAAAGUGUAUUGACGGACGUCUGGAUGGAUGGAGGGAUAGACGUGUGUUAAACUAAACAGACCAACAUGGCAAUUACAGAAACUAGAUGAUAAGUACAUCGAUGCUCACUGUACAAUUCUUCAUGUUGCUAAUUUUCAUUAACAUGUUCAAAAAUUCUGAAUACAGACACUAGGUAGAAACUCCAAAGACACAAGUUAAAUGUAAGUAAGUCUUCCUCCACCUCAUCCUGUCUGUCAGUCUUUCGGGUUCCCUAACAAUGGCAAUGGCAAUCCCUAGUACCUGUGGCUCUGGGGUAUCAUUCCAGGGAUAUUCUAUGCCUGUUUUAACACAUAGAUGAUUUAUUUUCAGUGAUGAUAAUGAUAACUAAUAAUUAUGCCGCACUUGCUACAUGCCAAGCACUGUCCUGUUUAACAUACAUUGAUUUAUGAAAUCUCUUCAACAGCCCUAUGGCGUGGAUGCUGUUACUACCCCAUUUUACAAAGGAGUAAAGUGAGGCCCAGAGAGAACAGUUAAAUCACUUCCCCAGCUUCACUCAACUCAUCUACGGUGAGUCGACGGUACACAUGCCCUUCCACAACACAAAGGUCUCCACUUUGCCACGUGUCACUCUGAUGGUUCCAGGUGCAGAUUUUGCGUCUGCUUCUUGACUUCUAAUGGCUGCACCAUUUUGCAUUGGAUGGUUAUACCAUCAUUUAUUUGACUCAUCUCCUGUGCACAAGCAUCUAGUUUAUCUGCAAACUUUUGCUACCAAAAACAAUGCUGCAAUGAAUAAAUAAGCUGAUGCCUGCUUCUAAGCGUGCGUGCAUGCUGUAAUGUGAGAUGAAUUCCCAGAAGUGGAGUGGCUGAGUCCAAGAGUAAAUGCAUUUUUCAUUUUGAUAGUAUCGCCAAAUGUCUUUCCAAAGGGGUUGUGCUGGAUCCCACUCCAGCUAGCAAUGUGUGAGAGCACCAAUCCCACCGCCCACUGCAGCACACAUAUUGACGUCGGCUAGUCCAAUACCAGCACAGGCAGCUGGGC
Molecule: long non-coding RNA, 2782 nt
Filed under: Homo sapiens (human)
Lineage: Eukaryota; Metazoa; Chordata; Mammalia; Primates; Hominidae
Description: HSALNT0234788
Source: RNAcentral